AGAGUUUGAUCAUGGCUCAGAUUGAACGCUGGCGGCAGGCCUAACACAUGCAAGUCGAGCGGUAGCACAGAGAGCUUGCUCUCGGGUGACGAGCGGCGGACGGGUGAGUAAUGUCUGGGAAACUGCCUGAUGGAGGGGGAUAACUACUGGAAACGGUAGCUAAUACCGCAUAAUGUCGCAAGACCAAAGUGGGGGACCUUCGGGCCUCAUGCCAUCAGAUGUGCCCAGAUGGGAUUAGCUAGUAGGUGGGGUAACGGCUCACCUAGGCGACGAUCCCUAGCUGGUCUGAGAGGAUGACCAGCCACACUGGAACUGAGACACGGUCCAGACUCCUACGGGAGGCAGCAGUGGGGAAUAUUGCACAAUGGGCGCAAGCCUGAUGCAGCCAUGCCGCGUGUGUGAAGAAGGCCUUCGGGUUGUAAAGCACUUUCAGCGGGGAGGAAGGCGAUAAGGUUAAUAACCUCAUCGAUUGACGUUACCCGCAGAAGAAGCACCGGCUAACUCCGUGCCAGCAGCCGCGGUAAUACGGAGGGUGCAAGCGUUAAUCGGAAUUACUGGGCGUAAAGCGCACGCAGGCGGUCUGUCAAGUCGGAUGUGAAAUCCCCGGGCUCAACCUGGGAACUGCAUUCGAAACUGGCAGGCUAGAGUCUUGUAGAGGGGGGUAGAAUUCCAGGUGUAGCGGUGAAAUGCGUAGAGAUCUGGAGGAAUACCGGUGGCGAAGGCGGCCCCCUGGACAAAGACUGACGCUCAGGUGCGAAAGCGUGGGGAGCAAACAGGAUUAGAUACCCUGGUAGUCCACGCCGUAAACGAUGUCGAUUUGGAGGUUGUGCCCUUGAGGCGUGGCUUCCGGAGCUAACGCGUUAAAUCGACCGCCUGGGGAGUACGGCCGCAAGGUUAAAACUCAAAUGAAUUGACGGGGGCCCGCACAAGCGGUGGAGCAUGUGGUUUAAUUCGAUGCAACGCGAAGAACCUUACCUGGUCUUGACAUCCACAGAACUUUCCAGAGAUGGAUUGGUGCCUUCGGGAACUGUGAGACAGGUGCUGCAUGGCUGUCGUCAGCUCGUGUUGUGAAAUGUUGGGUUAAGUCCCGCAACGAGCGCAACCCUUAUCCUUUGUUGCCAGCGGUCCGGCCGGGAACUCAAAGGAGACUGCCAGUGAUAAACUGGAGGAAGGUGGGGAUGACGUCAAGUCAUCAUGGCCCUUACGACCAGGGCUACACACGUGCUACAAUGGCAUAUACAAAGAGAAGCGACCUCGCGAGAGCAAGCGGACCUCAUAAAGUAUGUCGUAGUCCGGAUUGGAGUCUGCAACUCGACUCCAUGAAGUCGGAAUCGCUAGUAAUCGUAGAUCAGAAUGCUACGGUGAAUACGUUCCCGGGCCUUGUACACACCGCCCGUCACACCAUGGGAGUGGGUUGCAAAAGAAGUAGGUAGCUUAACCUUCGGGAGGGCGCUUACCACUUUGUGAUUCAUGACUGGGGUGAAGUCGUAACAAGGUAACCGUAGGGGAACCUGCGGUUG
RNAcentral lists this ribosomal RNA (1520 nucleotides) under Klebsiella pneumoniae. RNAcentral describes it as "bacterial SSU rRNA". It matches the Rfam family "Bacterial small subunit ribosomal RNA". Lineage: Bacteria; Pseudomonadati; Pseudomonadota; Gammaproteobacteria; Enterobacterales; Enterobacteriaceae. The record is from RNAcentral.